CAUGGGCGUAGCUUUGUGGGCCUUCCUAUGUUUUAUCACAAACUACUGUUUAAAGAAUGUCUACUGCGUGUAACGCAUUUAAAUACAACUCUCAGCAACGGAUCUCUUGGCUCUCGCAUCGAUGAAGAACGCAGCGAAAUGCGAUAAGUAAUGUGAAUUGCAGAAUUCAGUGAAUCAUCGAAUCUUUGAACGCACCUUGCGCUCCUUGGUAUUCCGAGGAGCAUGCCUGUUUGAGUGUCAUGGAAUUCUCAACUCCAUUCGCUUUUGUGAAUGGAGCUUGGACUUGGAGGUUAUUGCCGGACUUUAUUGUUUCGGCUCCUCUUGAAUGCAUUAGCUCGAGCCUUUGUGGAUCAGCUUCGGUGUGAUAAUUGUCUACGCCGUUCUGUGAAGCAUACAUAAUGGGUUUCGGCUUCCAAUCGUCCUUUGCGGGACAAUACACUAUGACCUUUGACCUCAAAUCAGGUAGGGUUACCCGCUGAACUUAAGCAUAUCAAUAAGCGGAGGAAAAGAAACUAACAAGGAUUCCCCUAGUAACUGCGAGUGAAGCGGGAAAAGCUCAAAUUUAAAAUCUGGCGGUCUAUGGCCGUCCGAGUUGUAGUCUGGAGAAGCGUCUUCCGUGC
This 620-nucleotide ribosomal RNA is filed under the name uncultured fungus. Its description in RNAcentral is "eukaryotic LSU rRNA". The stretch from base 87 to 240 matches the Rfam family "5.8S ribosomal RNA". The record is from RNAcentral. Lineage: Eukaryota; Fungi.